RNAcentral lists this transfer RNA (73 nucleotides) under Sus scrofa (pig). It matches the Rfam family "tRNA". From Rfam's summary of the family: Transfer RNA (tRNA) molecules are approximately 80 nucleotides in length. Their secondary structure includes four short double-helical elements and three loops (D, anti-codon, and T loops). The record is from Rfam by way of RNAcentral. Lineage: Eukaryota; Metazoa; Chordata; Mammalia; Artiodactyla; Suidae.
UCCCUGGUGGCCUAAUGGUUAAGGAUGUGGUGUUGUCACUGCUCUGGCUUGGGUUCCAUUCCCAGCCUGGGAA